CAAGUGCCUGCUUGGGAUCCAGCUGUGCAGGCAGGAGCCCCAGCUUAUGCAUCAGUUCCUGGCACAUUUCCUGGUCAAACAUAUCAAGCAGCUCCAGUACCCUCAUAUGUCACUACAGCAAUGCCCGCUGGAUCCUCUCCUCUUUCGCAAGGCAGCCCAAUUGCUCCUGGUGUGGUUUCCAUGCAAUGACUCAACCAGGGUUUCAACCAAAUGUGCGACCUGGUGGGGCUCCACCUCCAAGCUACCAUCCUUAUUAUGGCUGAUGAUUUGUAUUUUCCUCUUUGAACAGUGUUUGCCUUUCAAGCAUUUGUGUCUGGUAAAGAUUAUAAAUCUUUUAUGGUAAUUGCAAAA
This 351-nucleotide unclassified non-coding RNA is filed under the name Hevea brasiliensis (rubber tree). The record is from RNAcentral. Lineage: Eukaryota; Viridiplantae; Streptophyta; Magnoliopsida; Malpighiales; Euphorbiaceae.